ACAGGAUUUAGAAUAUUACAUGAACUUAGUUGAUAAAGCAGUGGCAGAGUUUUAGAGGAUGGAAUCCAAUUGUGAAAUGACUUCUAUCUUGAGUAAAAUGCUAUCCAUCGCAUGCUACAGAGAAAUCGUUCAUGAAAGGAAGAGUCAAUCUAUGUAGAAAAGUUCAUUGUUGUCUUAAUUUAAGAAAUUGCUACAGCCACCUCACCUUUCAGCAACCACUACCCUGAUCAGUCAGCAACCAUCGACAUUGAGGCAAAACCCUCCACCAGCAAAAAUAUCACGACUCCCUGAAGGCUCAGCUGAUGCUUCCAUUCUCUCCCUGGAAUUUCCCUCUUGGAUGCUUCCUUUUGGAGCUCAGUCACCAUGCCUUGAGAAGCCCAAGCAGGAAAAGGUUGUGUGUAGGUGCUCUAGUUGACAGUGUGAGCUGAGGUAAGCCUUCAAAUCAUCCCAGUCUAGAGGCCAGAUGUGAGUGACUAAGCCAUUCUGGAAAUGGAUCCUUCAGUCCAAGUUACUAGAACUCUCAGCUGUUUGAGUCAUGUCUGCUGUUCACAUCUUCCCAGCUGAGGCACCAAACAACUUGGAGAGAUAAGCCAUCCCUCCUGUACCCUGUUUGAGUUAUUGAUCCACAGAAUCUAUGAGAAUAAUACAAUUGUUAUUUUAUUUCACUAAGUUUUGGGGUAGUUGUUUGUGCAGAAAUAGCAACUGGGACACAAUUUGGUAUCAGAAGUGUGAUGCUGCUGUAACAAAAACCUAAAACGUGGCUUUGAGAUUCGUGGUGGUUGGAAGCUGGAAGGCCUUGAGGAAUUUGCUAGUGGAAGCCUAACAAACUUCAAGAAAGCUGUUGGUUAGGGCUUAAAGAAGAUUGAGCAAAAUGUUAUUGGGACUUAGAUGAAAGGAGACCCUUAUUUUAUAGUAACUCAAAAAUUUUAAAUAUUGUCACCUGUAGGAAUGUGAAAAAUAGGUAAUAUUCUUAAUGAACUGAUGUAUCUGGCUAAGGAUUUUCCAGGAAGAAUGUUAAAAACGUUAGCUGGUUUCCUUUAUCUGAAUAUUAUAAGAUAGGACAUAGAGAAAUGAGCUAAAAACAAAUUUAAAAAGAACAGGGAAUUAUUCAAUUUUCAGUGUCUAGGAUAACUAUAAAAGAUCCAAAUACAACUGAAAAUUCUACUAUUUAUCACCCCAAAUCUCUCCAAGGGCAGAUUAUAUCGAGGGCACUGUCAGGAAAAUGUGUCUUAGGGUAAAGAAGUCAAGGCUGAGACCAUAAAACUGUCUAUUAGGACCUCAGAAAUAUUUAAAUGUGUUGCCUCAUAAUUCUUUUCAGUCAAAGAGCAAUUUUUAUGAUUAUGCUCUCAGUUCAAUAAUAGAUCUUCCAGGAAUCUUAAAGUGGCUGUCCCACAGCAGCCUCACACGAGACCCCAAGUAGAGCAUAUCUUAGGAAGAGAUUUGUAAGUAUGACUUCUAUUUAAAUGGAGUGGAUUUAUAAAUUGAUGCAUAAGAAAAUGAUAAAAUUUUUAAGGUAACUGUAUUGGCAGAAAUACCACCAGCUUGGACUGAAAGUAAGAGAGACAGAGCAACAUGAAGAGAAGUUCUUGGACCUCCAUAUUUCAAUGGGCAGAGAGGAGACUGAGAAAAGUGCUCAGCAAACAUAGGGUUGUUUUUAUGGAAAAGGAAGGGUGACUAAAACAGAGAAUUCAGAGUCUAGAAUUUGAGGCUAAGAUCAUUGGAGAACAGCUCACAUAACCUAGGACAGGACUAUAAUCUAGAAACAAGCUAUAUAUGCCUACCUAGAUUUCAGAAAUAUUAUGAUCCAUGGAUAGCUAUGUGCCUCCAUUAGCACUUUGUAAUACAAGUAUCCAUAAUAUUUAUUCUAUGCCCAGCCUAUGAUUGCAUGUUGGGUGGUUGCCUGGCAGAUGGCUGAUCUCUUUAGUUCACCAUUUUUUAGAUGAAGAGGAACUGUGCCUGAUGACUCUUCUCCACAUUUGAACUUAAUUUAGGUGACAAAAUCCUGACUUUGAGCCUGAGACUGAACUGUAAUGCGAUGAUCCUUUUGAGCACUAUUGAAAGAGGGCGAGCGUAUUUUUCAUGUGGAAGGAAUGCAAAUAAUUUGUGGACAGAAGGCAGAAUGUGGAGGUUUUGAAAUAUGCUACACAAAAUUUUUGAUGUUACUUCCCUCAUAGGUGAUGACUAGGUUCCUUCCCUUUGAAUCUGAGAAGUCUUGUGACUUCUGAGGAGAGGUCAUAUAAAGGGUUUGCAACUUCUGUCAGAUUCUCUUGGAAUACUCCUUCUUAAUGCAGUUUUUCAGAACCUGGCUAUCAUGCUGUGAGUAGCCUGUGCCAUGUGGAGAGGUGGUGUGGAGUAGUACCUGUCAACGUUCUCAGCUGAGACCAGCCUUUGUGUCAUCUCAGCAAGAUGACAGAUAAGUAGGUGAAGAGGUUAUCUUGGAAGUGGAUCUUUUGGUCACAACCAUUCUAGUUCCCAUCCCUUGGAGUCAUCCUCAACUCCUUGGUUCCUCCUAGCUGAGGCCCGAGGCAUUGUAGAACAGACAAACCAUCCCUGCUGCGUCCUGUCCAAAUCCCCGACCCACAGAAUUCAUGAGCAUAACAAAAUUGUUGUUUGUGUCACUGAGUUUCAGAAUAGUUUGUUACAAAACAAUACUAACUGGAACAUUAUGAAAGGGUUGUUUAAAAAUAUAUAUAUAUACAUAUUUUCAGAAUGCUAUGGUAGCUGCCAGAUACACUGUUAAGUAAUAGAGGC
Long non-coding RNA from Equus caballus (horse), 2751 nucleotides. NCBI's taxonomy places the organism in Eukaryota, Metazoa, Chordata, Mammalia, Perissodactyla, Equidae. The record is from Ensembl.